GCAUUUGUGGCGUAGUGGUCAGCACCCUCGACUCGUAUUUGAGAGGUCCGUGGUUCGAGACCCAGCGAGAGCA
This 73-nucleotide transfer RNA is filed under the name Stegodyphus mimosarum. It matches the Rfam family "tRNA". Rfam says of the family: Transfer RNA (tRNA) molecules are approximately 80 nucleotides in length. The record is from Rfam by way of RNAcentral. Lineage: Eukaryota; Metazoa; Arthropoda; Arachnida; Araneae; Eresidae.